Pelobates cultripes (western spadefoot toad) is the source of this 222-nucleotide non-coding RNA. Lineage: Eukaryota; Metazoa; Chordata; Amphibia; Anura; Pelobatidae. The record is from the annotation of a GenBank genome assembly.
CCCAGCUCGUCAUGCUAGAGCACUUUUUCAAUGUGCUCCACAACGAGAAGGCGACGACGCAUUCGUAUGUCAAUCCAUAUCAACUUUCGAUGCCAUUGGUGACCACGGGUAAUGGGGAAUUAGGGUUUGAUUCCGUAUAGGGACCCUAAUAAACGGCUACCACAUGCAGGGAAGGCAGCAGGCGCGCAAAUGACCCACUCCCGACGCGGGAAGGUAGUGACG